This 250-nucleotide ribosomal RNA is filed under the name uncultured bacterium. Its description in RNAcentral is "partial 16S ribosomal RNA". It matches the Rfam family "Bacterial small subunit ribosomal RNA", at positions 524 to 773 of the family's 1533-position model. The record is from RNAcentral.
AACGUAGGUACCGAGCGUUAUCCGGAUUUACUGGGCGUAAAGCGCGUUCAGGCGGUCUGGCAAGUCGGGCAUGAAAUCUCUCGGCUCAACCGGGAGGGGUUGUCCGAUACUGCUGGGCUUGAGGGCAGUAGAGGGUGGUGGAAUUCCGGGUGUAGUGGUGAAAUGCGUAGAGAUCCGGAGGAACACCAGUGGCGAAGGCGACACGCUGGGCCUGGCCUGACGCUCAGACGCGAAAGCAUGGGGAGCGAAC